UGGAGCCGUAACGGUAGUCUCA
This 22-nucleotide unclassified non-coding RNA is filed under the name Mus musculus (house mouse). RNAcentral describes it as "oocyte_clustered_small_RNA11745". The record is from RNAcentral. Lineage: Eukaryota; Metazoa; Chordata; Mammalia; Rodentia; Muridae.